Molecule: transfer RNA, 77 nt
Filed under: Candidatus Hydrogenedentota bacterium
Lineage: Bacteria; Pseudomonadati; Candidatus Hydrogenedentota
Also listed under: 1 other name
Description: Candidatus Hydrogenedentes bacterium (hot springs metagenome) tRNA-Val
Rfam family: tRNA
About the family: Transfer RNA (tRNA) molecules are approximately 80 nucleotides in length. Their secondary structure includes four short double-helical elements and three loops (D, anti-codon, and T loops).
Source: RNAcentral
GGGCGAUUAGCUCAGGUGGUUAGAGCGCUGCUUUCACACGGCAGAGGCCACUGGUUCAAGUCCAGUAUCGCCCACCA